Molecule: ribosomal RNA, 253 nt
Filed under: uncultured bacterium
Lineage: Bacteria
Description: partial 16S ribosomal RNA
Rfam family: Bacterial small subunit ribosomal RNA
Source: RNAcentral
UACGGAGGGGGCGAGCGUUGUCCGGAUUUACUGGGUGUAAAGGGAGCGCAGGCGGUGCGGCAAGUCUGAUGUGAAAGCCCGGGGCUCAACCCCGGUACUGCAUUGGAAACUGUUAAACUGGAGUGCAGGAGAGGCAGGCGGAAUUCCUAGUGUAGCGGUGAAAUGCGUAGAUAUUAGGAGGAACACCAGUGGCGAAGGCGGCCUGCUAAGCUGCAACUGACAUUGAGGCUCGAAAGUGUGGGUAUCAAACAGG